Molecule: ribosomal RNA, 252 nt
Filed under: uncultured bacterium
Lineage: Bacteria
Description: partial 16S ribosomal RNA
Rfam family: Bacterial small subunit ribosomal RNA
Source: RNAcentral
UACAUAGGGUGCAAGCGUUGUCCGGAUUUAUUGGGCGUAAAGAGCUCGUAGUUGGCACAGUUAGUCAGAAGUUAAAACGCAGGGCUCAACUCUGCGUCGCUUUUGAUACUGCUGAGCUUGAGUAUGGCAGGGGAGAACGGAAUUCCACGUGUAGCGGUGAAAUGCGCAGAUAUGUGGAGGAACACCAAUGGCGAAGGCAGUUCUCUGGGCCAUUACUGACACUGAGGAGCGAAAGCGUGGGGAGCGAACAGG